This 1899-nucleotide long non-coding RNA is filed under the name Salvia miltiorrhiza (redroot sage). Its description in RNAcentral is "long non-coding RNA (SMIL_LNC012378)". Lineage: Eukaryota; Viridiplantae; Streptophyta; Magnoliopsida; Lamiales; Lamiaceae. The record is from RNAcentral.
CUCUCUAAAAAAAUAUUUUCUCUCUCUAGCUUAUAAGCUCAAUUAUUCAAACACUUUGACAACUUAUAAGCUCUUAAAAAUGAUAUCUUAUAAGCUCUUGAAACAUCUUAUAAGCUACAAGAGCUUAUAAGCUCUUUAAAAUAAGCUUAGCCAAACACCCUCUUAUACUGAAAGACCAUCCAAAAAUCUGACGUGUCCAAAUCCGUUGAUUACUAAAACGGCAUCAGUUUGCAAAGAUAGCAACGUAGGCGAGAUAGCAUCAUUUCAUUUGAGACCUCCACCGCCGAGGUCGGGCUCGCGCUCAUCGGUAGUUGAGUUCUACAGACCCCAAACUUGAGUUUCUAACAAUUAAAGAUGUUGCACAAAAUGUAGGCGUGUAGGCAAAUUAAACCUUGCAACUCAUAUUCAAAUUCUGCACACACUUUAAAGCAAAGAAAUGAUAUUUUUCACUCCACGCCAAUCAGCAGUGAGCUCAUUUUCUUAUACAAAAUGGAAUAUGAAUGAUACAUGAAUAAAGAGUGUAUACAAAUAUUUUCAUCACUGUAUAUAACUGCACAAAGAGGAAACCUGUGGAUUCUAUCUGUCCCCAUAUUCUGAAUAUUGUACAACCCUAUCUCGCUUCGGAGACCUGUUCAACAUUACUGAGAAUUAGAAACUGGUAAUAACAUUGGCUAAUCACUCGACACAUUAUUUACAAUUUCUGUCUGGUCACAAUUCCUCUUAUCAUGUCUGUUUCCCCACUAAUAAUAACUGUUACCUAUCUUCUUAAAUGGUUGAAGACCAACAAAGGAACAUGUUCUUGGAUCUUAAUUAUAGCUCAGCUUUUUUUUUUGAACUCUCGUAGCAAAAAUGGUGUUGUUUUGGGCCACAUGUUGCGGCGAUGACUCCAAAAUAUUGCCCAAGGAUUUUAUUGCUUAGGUUUAGGAGCUCCGAGUGCCUAUACGGCUAUCUAGACAUUGUCGGGCUCAAGCCACUCAACCUUUUACCAGAAGGAGGAUAGUAUUAAGCAAGGGAAGAAUCACAACAAGUUUCCAGCAUGUAGGUGUGUAAACACAAAUUUUUGUAUUUCAAUUUGAUAAAAUACAAAAAAAACGCGUUACAAAGAUAAUUUGAUAGAUUUGAAGAUAGAUUUAUGCGGGUUGCAAUCUCUAGUUAAUCCUCUGAUUCUUCUCUUCCAUUUGAUUCUUGAACAAGCUCGAAGGUUCUUGAAAUACUUGAUUUGAUGACGCCAAUCCAAGGGACUUAAGUCAUGAUUUUGGAUUGAACGUUGAACUUGAUUUGAUUUGAUUUGAUUUGAAGAACGUCCUUAGAAUUUGUAAGAACGCCUUGAAGCUUUGGGAUUUGGUUGAUUUGAUUUGAGGAAGAUCGUUCUUGGAAUUUGUAAGAACGCCUUGAUCACUUGAAGAUUUGAAGGUUUGAUCACUUGAAGAUACUUGAAGAAUACUUGAAGAUUUGAAUGCUCAAAUACUUGAAGAUUCGAAGAAGACUUGAACGCUUGAAGAUUUCGAAGGAUACUUGAAGAUUUGAAUGCUCAAAUACUUGAAGAUUCGAAGAAGACUUGAACGCUAGAUAGAAUUCUUCAAGAUACUUGAAUACUUGGAAGAAUACUUGAACUCUCCAAUUCUUCGCCUCUUUCAACUUGCGAUACUAGAGAGAAUUCUUUAUACUCUUCGAUCUUCCGUUCCUUCACGUCGUGAUAAUGAGCACCCCAACACCUCUAUUUAUAGAUUUUAGAGAUGAGCUUUGGGCCUUCAUGCAUGGGCCUUAGGGCUUUAGGUGUCCAUAAGCCCAUUAAUUCAUUUAUAUUAAAUAUUAAUUAUAUAUCUAUUUAAUUUAGGAAUAAAAUCCAUUUAAUAAAAUAGAAAAUAUAAUUGAAUAUUUAAUUCAUGAAUUUACACG